Molecule: non-coding RNA, 68 nt
Submitted as: unclassified sequences
Source: Rfam
GGCCCAACCCUGACUAGUCGCCUUUAUGGUGUGCGUCUCCCUUUGGGGGAGUAGGGGUUGGGUUUCUU